This 253-nucleotide ribosomal RNA is filed under the name uncultured bacterium. RNAcentral describes it as "partial 16S ribosomal RNA". It matches the Rfam family "Bacterial small subunit ribosomal RNA", at positions 524 to 776 of the family's 1533-position model. The record is from RNAcentral.
UACGUAGGGUGCAAGCGUUAAUCGGAAUUACUGGGCGUAAAGCGUGCGCAGGCGGUUUUUCAAGACAGAUGUGAAAUCCCCGGGCUCAACCUGGGAAUUGCGAUGGAGACUGCAAGGCUUGAAUCUGGCAGAGGGGGGUAGAAUUCCACGUGUAGCAGUGAAAUGCGUAGAGAUGUGGAGGAACACCGAUGGCGAAGGCAGCCCCCUGGGUCAAGAUUGACGCUCAUGCACGAAAGCGUGGGGAGCAAACAGG